UUGGCUGGCCUGCUGCCAGCGGCCCAGACGGGAACAGCGUCAGCUUCACGCAAGGGUCCCUCCCUGUGCACCCUGCUACGCCGCCUGCUGCCUGUAUUCGUGGCAGCCGAGUCGUCCGUCGUCUUCGUCGGUCCUCCUCGGCUCCCUCGCCUGCUUCUUCCUUCGUCGGUUCCUGUUACUAUUCGGGUUGCGCCGUAGCCUGCCGGCCUCUGGGCUAUCAGCCCGUCUGCUCAUGCUGUUUCCAGGUGACUGAAACGCUAAGGUUCCUACUACAAAUAACAAGGUUUUAUGGCCACAAGUCCAAGGCAGAAAAUACAUCUCCUGCUCUAAUUCAAAUGUUUCAGUGACUGUGCCAUUUCUUCUAAUAACUGAACUCUGAAGGAUGGUGCAUACUGGAACGGAGGGAGUAGUAACCAAAUUAUUUGGAGGAACGGAGGGAGUAGUAACCAACAAAUUGUAGGAACGGAGGGAGUAGUAACCAUGCUUCUAUUAGGUUAUGCAAGCACGUUAAAUCAGGGACCUACAUCUGAUGUGUUCUGUCUAAGCAUUGUUAGACAGCAAUAUAAUAGGCAAUGCCAAGCAAAACAAGUAUCAAGUACUACCACAAUACUGUUUUAUGUUCUGUAUUAUAUUUUGUGUUUGUGUAAUGCUAAAUCAUUUGUUCUUUGCAAAUCUACUCUUUACUCAAUCGAAAUAUCUUGAUUAGCACCUGUUCACAUUAUUGAUGGAUGUGCCUGGACCAUAAAAUGCUAUACUCAAAUACAACCAUCGAGGUAGACAGGCGCGGCGUUAGCGCGCCAUCCGUCCUAGUUUAUCAUGUCCGCCUAAGAAUAGGUCGAUUUUAAAAGCUUUCAAGCAAAAUUAUCACAUUGCAAAUACUCGACCUAACACAUUUUCUCCGCCACAUUACACAUUUCAGUUAAGCAAAAUUAACAGAGUAAACUGGUGGAGAAAACAUGCUUUUACGCAUAGAUGAUAGAUCUAACACAUCACAUCGUAAGUUCGUAACAACAUCGCACACUGCGAGUUCAAAACUUCAAAUCGGUAAAGGUUUGC
Long non-coding RNA from Setaria italica (foxtail millet), 1056 nucleotides. RefSeq lists it as uncharacterized. Lineage: Eukaryota; Viridiplantae; Streptophyta; Magnoliopsida; Poales; Poaceae. The record is from RefSeq and is a predicted model, not a curated record. The transcript has 4 exons.